Molecule: ribosomal RNA, 406 nt
Filed under: uncultured bacterium
Lineage: Bacteria
Description: bacterial SSU rRNA
Rfam family: Bacterial small subunit ribosomal RNA
Source: RNAcentral
AGCGAACGCUGGCGGCAGGCUUAACACAUGCAAGUCGAGCGGGCGUAGCAAUACGUCAGCGGCAGACGGGUGAGUAACGCGUGGGAACAUACCUUUUGGUUCGGAACAACACAGGGAAACUUGUGCUAAUACCGGAUAAGCCCUUACGGGGAAGAUUAUCGCCGAAAGAUUGGCCCGCGUCUGAUUAGCUAGUUGGUGAGGUAACGGCUCACCAAGGCGACGAUCAGUAGCNGGUCUGAGAGGAUGAUCAGCCACAUUGGGACUGAGACACGGCCCAAACUCCUACGGGAGGCAGCAGUGGGGAAUAUUGGACAAUGGGCGCAAGCCUGAUCCAGCCAUGCCGCGUGAGUGAUGAAGGCCCUAGGGUUGUAAAGCUCUUUUGUGCGGGAAGAUAAUGACGGUACCG